GACGAACGCUGGCGGCGUGCUUAACACAUGCAAGUCGAACGGGAAGGCCCUGCUUUUGUGGGGUGCUCGAGUGGCGAACGGGUGAGUAACACGUGAGUAACCUGCCCUUGACUUUGGGAUAACUUCAGGAAACUGGGGCUAAUACAGGCUAGGAGCUCCUGCCACUUGGUGGGGGUUGGUAGGUUUCGGCGGUUGGGGUUGGACUCGCGGCUUAUCAGCUGGUUGGUGGGGUAGUGGCUUACCAAGGCUUUGACGGGUAGCCGACCUGAGAGGGUGACCGGCCACAUUGGUACUGAGAGACGGCCCAGACUCCUACGGGAGGCAGCAGUGGGGAAUAUUGCACAAUGGGCGGAAGCCUGAUGCAGCAACGCCGCGUGCGUGAUGACGGCCUUCGGGUUGUAAACCGCUUUCGCCUGUGACGAAGCGUGAGUGACGGUAAUGGGUAAAGAAGCACCGGCUAACUACGUG
This 468-nucleotide ribosomal RNA is filed under the name uncultured bacterium. Its description in RNAcentral is "partial 16S ribosomal RNA". It matches the Rfam family "Bacterial small subunit ribosomal RNA", at positions 28 to 507 of the family's 1533-position model. The record is from RNAcentral.